This 790-nucleotide long non-coding RNA is filed under the name Equus caballus (horse). Its description in RNAcentral is "lncRNA (ENSECAG00000044399.1)". Lineage: Eukaryota; Metazoa; Chordata; Mammalia; Perissodactyla; Equidae. The record is from RNAcentral.
GUAAUGUCCAAAGAUGACAAAGAAAAGGCAACUGACUCAAAGUUACUCUUGGGCAAGUCAUUUCAUCUCUCCACGACACAGUUUCCUGCCUCUUCAACAAGCGAAAAGUGUUGGACACCAGGGUUGCAUCUAACUUAAUUUUGUUUCCGAUGUUCAUUAAGAAGAAUGAUCUUCAAGCUAGGAAGGAGAGUGUAUAUACCAAAGCGCUUUAUUAUAGCCAUAGCACCGUGAGAAAAUACAGGUUGAAUUAAUAAAUGGAACAGCUACUACAAGUACACUAAAAAGUAAGGAAAAAAAUAAAGAAUUUUUGUGGCCAGCAUAUUGGAAACAUUGUGGAAGAAUAGUUCCUCUUCACAUAAAGGUUACCUCUGUAAAGCUGCCAAGGUCAGAACCCUGGUGGGUUAUCUGCCAAAUGUGGAAACUGACAACCGAGAUGGUAAAUAAUUCAUCCAGGUUCACACAGCCUCUGACAAAGAAAGGUCUAUCUGACUUCAAAUUGGUUCCUGUUAGUCAUGUAGCUACACCGUCUUUCGGUGUAUGAAUUAUGCACACCAAAGCCAGAUGGUGCAUAUGUUGUAAAUUUGCAAAACAUUUCAUCUGCCUAGUGAAAAGCGUGAACGAGAAGAGAAAGACAUGAUUAGUCAUCCUUUGAUAUACAAAUGUUGGAUUGCACUAAGGGGAGAUCUUUUCCUCAAGCAUAGAACAAGAACCGUGACAAAAAUACGCAGCUCAAACAAACAUGGUUUUUUAACAGAAUAGCAAAUCUAAGAACCAAAAGAACAUAAUGCAG